This 31-nucleotide transfer RNA is filed under the name Plumbago auriculata (Cape leadwort). Its description in RNAcentral is "partial tRNA-Phe". Lineage: Eukaryota; Viridiplantae; Streptophyta; Magnoliopsida; Caryophyllales; Plumbaginaceae. The record is from RNAcentral.
GGGAAUGGCCGGGAUAGCUCAGUGGUAGAGC